RNAcentral lists this microRNA precursor (65 nucleotides) under Mytilus edulis (blue mussel). Its description in RNAcentral is "mir-2 microRNA precursor family". It matches the Rfam family "mir-2 microRNA precursor family". From Rfam's summary of the family: The miRNAs are transcribed as ~70nt precursors (modelled here) and subsequently processed by the Dicer enzyme to give a ~22nt product. In this case the mature sequence comes from the 3' arm of the precursor. The record is from Rfam by way of RNAcentral. Lineage: Eukaryota; Metazoa; Mollusca; Bivalvia; Mytilida; Mytilidae. RNAcentral also lists the same sequence under 1 other name.
AUGUGCAUCAAAGUGGUUGUGAAAUGUAUUGGUUCUCAUAUCACAGCCAGCUUUGAUGAGCUUUU